UGGAAAAAAAAAAACUCCGGUAACAAUUUCCACAGCAAUAGUUAUACAAUUGAGAUUACUGAGAUGGACCAAAUUGAGGCCAAUACAAAUUCGGAUGAAACUCAAAAAUGAUUCCAACAGCUAUAGCAACAAAUUUCGAAUUCACAAGCCCAAAAACGAACAAACCGUGUAGCAUAAAUUUGAACAUCCCUUUAAUCCUUUUUCAAUUUCUUUUGAAAUUUUCUGGAUCUGAAAUUUGACUUGCCAACUUCCUCUCUCAACAAGAUCAAGCGUGUGUGUGACUGAGUGUUUUUCUGUGGUUUUUCAAGAAGAAUAAGGAGGCGACAUGGCGCUGUGUUUCAAGGAUCUAGCGUCUGAUUGAUUUUUUGAAGAUGAUAGAUGAGGAAGAAGGUCCAAAGGCCGUUUGCUCUCUAUGUAAG
This 419-nucleotide long non-coding RNA is filed under the name Nicotiana benthamiana. RNAcentral's name for it is "long non-coding RNA (NBEN_LNC021282)". Lineage: Eukaryota; Viridiplantae; Streptophyta; Magnoliopsida; Solanales; Solanaceae. The record is from RNAcentral.